ACUAUGGUGUAGGCUGGCGGCUGCAGCUCCAAUUCGACCCCUAGCCUGGGAACCUCGAUAAGCCUUGGGUGUGGCUCUAAAAAAAGCAAAAAAUAAUAAAUAAAUAAAAUAAAAGAACUAUACCAUUCUUUUCUAUCUAUCGGCUUUCAAGAAAUUUUACAUUAUUUCCUUCCAUUUUUAUUGAAGUGAAAUUCACAUGACAUAAAAUUAACCAUUUUAAUGUGAACAAUGCAGUGGCAUUUAGUACAUUCAUGAGGUUGUAGAACCACCACCUCUAUCUAGUUCAAAAAUAGUUUCAUCAUAGAAAAAUAAUCCCUGCUACCCAUUAAGCAGUUUCCUAGUCUUGCUCCCCUUUCCCAGCCCCUGGCAACUACCAAUCUGCCUUCUACCUCUAUGGAUUUAUCUAUUCUGAUAUUUCAUAUAAAUGGAGUCAUACAGUGUAUGUCCUUUUGUGUCUGGCUUCUUUCAUUUAUCAUAAUGCUUUCAAGGUGCAUUCAUGUUUUAGCAUUUAUUGGUGCUUUGUGCUUUAUUCAUGGCUGUAUAAUAUUCCAUUGUGUGCAUAUAUAGCAUAAUUUGUUUUCCCUAUCUAUGUGUUGAUAGGCACUGGGUUGUUUCCAUCUUUUGGCUAGUGCUGCUCUGAACAUGCAGGUACGAGGAUUUGCUCGAGUAGCUAUUUUCAGUUGUUUUGGGUAGAUACCCAGGAGUGGAAUCGCUGGAUCAUGGGGUAACUCUGUUUAACAUUUUUUGGACCCACCAAAUUGUUGUUUUCCACACAAUAAUCAACAUCCUUAUAAACUCACUUUCAUGUCUUGAGGAUAAAAGGCAUAUUAACUGCCAUGCUUUCCCACGCCUGGUCCCUUAUUUGUUGCCUCUGGUCUUAUACUUUAAGGUAAGAUGUUAAACCCUGCCUCUUCUUAUCCUAGAGAUGCAAAGUGAUUUGGAUGCUUGACAGAGAAAACAUUUGGGUAAACUAUAAAUCCUUCUUGGUGUAGCUGAGUAGUAAGGAACAGAUAACACCAGCAACACUUACGGAGGACUAUAUGUGUGCUGGGCAUUGGACUAAAGGUAUCACCUACUUCCUCCCACUUAACCCUCAUGCCAGUUCAACUGUGAGCCCUCUAUUACAGAUGAGGAAAACUGAGGUCUGAGCAAGAGCUAAGUGCCCCUCCCCCAGGCUCUCAUUAUCUAUAAGCCUCUCCUACAAAGAAACUCUGCAGCUGCCACCAGCAAUGAAUCAGAAGCUGUUCUGUGCCUCGGGAGCUCAUGGUCUACUUUGGCAGAUGGAUAAAGAGGCAAUUAUAAUAAAGUACAAUCAAUGCCAGGACAGGUGUCACAACAGGGAGGAUGUGUACUUAGCUCAGCUCUAGGUGACAGACUUACAAGAGGAGACAAAAUCUAAGGUCGGUGUGUCAUUUCAUUUAUAAAUAAAUGGGCCUUUGUGCCCCUUGACACGGUUGAGCCCUUCCCUACCCUCCCUUUGGCACCACCACCUCGUCAUUCUGUUCCCGUGCAGUGUUUAGAACAUAGUAGCUGCUCACUAAACACAGGUUACUAAACACACAUGCUCCUCAGAUGGAGUUCCAGCCCCCAUCACACUGUCUUGGGACUCUAGUGCCUAGGACUCAAAUCACAGGCUUUCUUAAAACAGCUGUGGCCCAAGAAUGAGGGGAAGGAACUGAAAAAGGCCUAGAAUGGCUUCUGUGGUCCUCUCUGUGGUCUUCUGAAGGAGCUCAUAUACCUGAAAGGGCCCAUGUACCUGAGAAGAGGGGGAAGGGGGUGGGAAGAGGGGUGUGACUGUGAAGAUACCUUCCCCCGCCCAGGUGAGGAGUCUGUUGAGGUGCCUGGGAUCCUGAAGCAGAAGUGGAAUGAACUGAUUUCCUCCCAUUUUGAAACUGACACCCCAGACAACAGAGUGACCUUCCCAAGGACACAUGCUGAAUAAGUCACAGGUAGCAAAGGUUCAUCCUCCAGGACAUGGACUUCUCUGCACAAGCCGCCCUCUGGGACGGAGCCUGUGGCCCAAAGUCUGGCGAACCUGAAAUACUCCACGCUGUGCAUUCCACAGGGGUGACUUGUGAUUGGAAUGAGAACAUUUCAGCUCACUCCCUCUGUGACUUGGCCUUUAUCUUUUGAGCCCUAAUAUUACAUUAAGGUAGCUUCUGGCUUUUAAUUGCCCUGAACUUUUGUUAACAUUAAAUGAAGGAAGGAAAUGGGAAGGAAAAUAAAACCGUAUCUGUAUUGCUUUUGAGUUGCAUAAUUGUAUAUUUUUGCCACCUCAUUAGUUUUCAACUAUUCCAGCCUACAAACCUCUCCCCUGCCGCCACCGAGGAAAAUAAAUCAGUCAUUCCUUUAUUGCUGCAAAGUCCGCCAAGCUCUAGGUUCUCUUCUCUAAUAUUAAAGAGGAUGAUGCCACUUUAAAUUCAGAGUCUAUUUUUUAAUUACCACCUGUGGGAGACCCUGACUCACACAAGUGCUUGGUUGUCUUCUUGCCUUUCCAAAAAACACACCUUCCCUCCAAGCGGAUGUGACAUUUGAAGACUUAAACAUCAGUUACUGGAGGCAGUCACAGAGUCUCCCCUUUAUUUGGGGAACAGAGACGGCCCUGCCCAUCCCCAACUGCUUCUAACUCAAAGAUGACCUCACAGCCUCAGCUCACACUUUCCAAAAAUAAAACUUUACCUCGGCGCUUUACCACACCCACAAAAAUUGGCUCCAAAAUGUUUUACCAAAUAGUUUUGAGGAGUACAAAUGAGAACAGCAUAACCCAGGUAUGUCACUGUAACCAUGGCUACAGGUUUUAUUAGCACUAAUACCAGGAUGUGGUCAGAUCAGAUAUACACAGACGGCAAACACAAACCUGAGUGGUGUCAGCAUGUGCGCCGUAAAUUCUCCAAAUUGGAAACGUAGCUCUUAAUGACUAUGAUUCAUAAAGGACCUUGGGCUGGUGGUGGCGGCCGGAGGGGGCGGGCAGAGUGAGGAGGGAAGUACGGGGAGGGUGGAGGGCUGCAUGGGUAAGAGAAGCUCAGGAUUCUAAUUUUAGCUGUAAUCGAGCUUUUUAAUACAGUCCUCUAACAUGCCACUACCUUGCAUUUAGAUUGCGAUUUUCCCUUCUCAGUGUUCUUUUGCGUGUCUAGUCUGUUCUUCACAGCAAUCUUGAGAGAGAUCAGAGAUGGCUAAUAGCCUCAUUUCUCAGAUGAGAAAAGGGCUCAGAAAGCUUAACUGAUUUGCCCAAGAACAGAGGCUUGGAAGACAACUGAACCGCACUAGAACUGGGUCUCCUUAAUAUUCUUUUUACUGCACCCCUCUGCCAGCCUUUUGUAUUCUGCUGGGGACAUUUGAUAUGGAUUAAUUCCUCUUGCAAACAACCCUCAUCCUUAUCAUUUGUCUGAUUAGCCAGAGACCAGGAUCAGUCCAUCAGACUGGAAAGUCAGCCCUGUCUUUUGCCUUUUGUCCUCACCUCUUUUUCCCGGCCCCCUGCCUGGCUCUCCCCUACACAUGACAGCACAAAGAACAGGUAAUAUAGUUCCAGUUCUGGAGGGAGCGUGUGGUCCAGGGGCUGCAAGCUUAACCUGCCUCCAGAGACCAGGUAGGUGUCAGGACUGGGUGAAGCAGGCAGGGUGGGCACUGGGGUCCAGGUUAGGGAACAUCGGUCCUUCUUAAACCCCAGCAGACUGUGGCUGAGUGGGAGCUGAGUGUGGCCAAAUUUUAGGAUGAGCUAAAGACAGAAUUUUAUAUGAAAUCAUAGGAGGAAAAAAAUUAAAUAGAAGUGCCCUUGGGUUAGCUAUAGUUCCUGGGCUGCCAGGGAGCACUGUAAGUUUUAUGCCUUUGGGUCCCCAAUGCCCGCUGUCAUAGGCGAUACUGUAUCACACUUCUCUUAAGGUUUUGGUCCUAUUAAAAUAUAUAUGUGUAUGUGAGCUUCUUGAGGUCACAGUAGGUGUCUUAAUUCAUCAGCAGUGUGUCCAUAGGGUGUGGCACCAUGACUGGCUUUCAGAUGCCUGAUGGAUGAAUGAUCAGGGAACACCCCUUCAUCCUGGAAGGAUCCAGAGACUGAGGUCCUCAGUGCCCUGAAAACAGAGGCAGCAGAGUACAUGGGUACAGCAGGAUCUUCACACUUUAGUACCUCCGUGGCCUUGGGAAAAUCACUUAGGUCUCUAAUAGCCUCAGUUUCUUCCCCCACAUAAUGGGUAUUAAAAGACCCACCUCCCAAGUUGUUGAAGAGGCCACGUCUGUAGAGCCUUGAUUCCCACUCCCAGAGUUGCACCCUUGGUAAGAACACAGAAAAUGGUGGCUUUUUGAUUCAUCAGAUCAUUCCCUGUUUCUGUGAAAGGUGAUAAGACAUUCUGCCAACCCUCUGCUUUGAGGCUUUGGCCCCCUGAGGUAUCUAUGUCCAUAGAGGCCAGUCCAAGGAAAACAAGUGAGCAUUCUGGCUGAAAUGAAGAGGAGAAAGUUGAUUGUGAUGGACAAAACAAGGCAUCCCUAAGAAACUAGAUCUUGAAGGUCAGGAGGGCUUUAAAGAGGGGCUGCAGCUGCAAACAAAGUUAGCAAGAAAGCGGGGGCCAGACACAUGCAUCUGCUCUGAGUCCCAACAUCGGUUGGUUGACUCAGUCUUUAAACCAGUUCACAGAAAAAGUGAUCAGACGCUGCUUGGAACAAAUUCAUUCUGUAAUGAAUGGAUGUGUUUGCCUUUCACACGACAGGAGUAGCGUAAUAGUAAAUAUUGUGCUAUCAGGUUUUCAAGGCGAUUUUAAGACAACCACUAUGUGAAAUGCACUUGGGCUACAUGCUUUACACACAUUGUCUUUAUACUAUUAUCCACUCGCUAACCCACUCAUUCAUUCAUUCAUUCAACAAAGACCUAUUUCCAGCCCACUUUCUGCCAGGUACUGUGCUCAGAAUAAAGGAUAAAAUGAAGUAGCACAGUGGAAAAAACACCUUGCCCUCUGAGAAAUGCACUAAUAUCUCUGCUUACAGGAAAGAAAACUAAACUCAAAGUGCUUAAGUGAAUGCCUGCACUCCACACCGGUGUUGGUAAAGGAGGCAAAAUGCUUGACUGUGUGUUUUCUGGUUUAGGAGAAGAAAAAUUAGGAAGUUUCCUUGAUGAUCUAGGAAUAUAAACAUGAGGACGCGUGUGUCUUGCAAACAGGCUGGGAUAUUGCGUUGAAUCACAUGUAACAGGACUGGAAUUUUCAGAAUAUCAGAGAGACACGAUUUUUAGUGUUGAAUCCCUAAGCACGGCUGAAAACGACUAAUGAUUGUCAGAGUCUAUGACACGGACCCUUUGCGGACAAUGUAGUUAGGGUUGAGAAGAGAGAAAAAGAAAGAGGGAGGGAGAAACAGGGAAGGAGAAUAAGGUGGCUAGAGAUUUUAGGCCUCCUGUAACAGAAAUUCAGAGAAAGCCCAGAUGAACAUCGUUUUAAACUCUUCUCAUUGUUCUUAAAUUAUUCUCUAAUUAUUUUUCUCGCAUCAUCUUUGACUGGGGAGAAGGUAUCUUUUUCUUCCCCUGUCUUUUCCUAGCAUAGCCUAAUUAAUACUAGAUUGAUUGAAAGAUUGACUUAUUUGAACCUUGAGUGAAAUGGAGCUUUUUCAUUUUCUUUUCUGCUGAACCUGAAAUAGAGCAUAUAGUAAUUAGGAAAGGAUCCCUUGUUAUCAGAAAGUCCCAGCCACAAUGAGCUCUUUGUAACUGAGCGAAAGCAAGGUAGAUGAUUAUUUCAGAGCUGAUAAAGCACACUCCUUGUUCCCUUCUGCUUUCAGUGAUAAGGGAGUUCCUUGAUCAUUAUUUCCUCCUUAAGUGAGUUAUUUGGCUGGAGGACGUCUGGAUGGUGGGCUAAGUGGUGGGUAAUUGUCAUCUAAGUCUGGUCACAGACGUGACUGAUGGCCUCUUCGAUGUCUUUCAUUGCCCCUGCUCUCUCCUCAAUGAUCUAGGUUGGCUCGUUUACAUUACAUUUUUUAGGCUUUCUCUUCUUUCAGGACCCUCCGGUUCACUGGCAUGACUUCAUUCAUUCAGGAACAUGCCCAACUCUGGGCAUCCAAACAGAGUAAGACAGGCUAGGGCUCUGUUCUCAUUGGCUCAUCUUCCAGAGUAGGGAGACAGUCCACAAAUGCGUACCUUGAAGUAACAAGAGCAUCAUGUGUGAAUGAGAAGUUUCAGAGGGGGAAGAACUACAAAGGCGAUGAGACAGGAUGGUGCAGUAGUGGUUGACUGGGAGCUGGGCUUCUUAGAUGACUCGGUUAAGAAAGGUUCCUGUUAAGGUAACGUUUGAGGUUAGGAGUGAGUAGAAGUGCCUUUGAGCCCAGCUCUGCAAGUUAUGAAGCAGACGGUCAUGCCGGGACCUAAGAGAAGAUGUACUAAAGGGACAAAGAAGGACCUGAGGGGUGGACAGCUCUGACACCGGUGUGUCCAGGCCAGGUGAGUGAGAAGGGAGUGGAGGGUGAGAUUAGAGAAGGAGGCAGGGCUGGCUUUUGGAGGCACCUGUUGGGGAUGGCAGGGAGUUCAGACACCACUCCACAGGCGUGGGGAAGCCAUGCGGGGAGCCAUGGUGAGUGGAGGGGCAGUGGGUGGGGGCGUCAGGAUCUGGCUCAAGUGGAGAGAAGAGUAGAACCAGAGAGACUGGUUAGAAAGCUGCUGCCAUAAUCCAGGUGAAGGGUGAUGGUGCUCUAGCCAUGAAAUGGAGAGAAGUAGCUAGAUUCCGAAUAUACUUGAGGUAAUGGGACAGCUGAGGGGUUGCAGGUGGCAUGAAGCAAGAAGGGAAUAUGUGACAAAGGCUACUGUGACAAGGUGCCCCAGGCUGAGUAGCUUAAACAACAUCAGUGCAGUGGCUCACAGUUCUGGAGGCCAGGAAUCAAGGUGUUGGCAGGGAUGGUUCCUUCUGAAAGCUGGGAAGAAAAGAUCUGGUCCAGGUCCCUCUCCUUGGGUGUCAGUGGCCAUCUUCUCUAAAUGGCUCUUCACAUUGUCUUCCCCUUGUGCAAGUCGACCACUCUGUCCAAAUUUCUCCUUUUCAUAAGGACACCAGUCAAACUGAAUCAUGGACCCACUUGACUCCAGUAGGACCUCAUCUUAAUGAAUUACAUCUGCAGAAACGCUGUGUCCAACUAAGGUCAUACUUUGAGAUGGGGCUUAGGACUUCAACAUAUAAAUACAUCAUAAGUAGAUACAUAUAUGAUUCUUUGUGCUCUUCUGUAUCCUUUUAAUUUUUUUCAAAGAAAACAAGUAACUACAAUGUAGUCAGACAAGGGUGGUGGUAGGUGAUUAACUCCGUGAAAGCUCAGAGGGGAAAGAAAUCCAUUUGGGGAGGUUUGCGGGCUGAGAACUGACAUAAGAAGCUUGAAGGACUAGGGGUUCCCCCAUGAAGACACUGAGGGAAGAGGCGAGAACAUCCCAGGGCAGGCAGAACAGCACGUGCCAAGCACAGCAGUGUGGGGGAGCAGGGAUGCUGGGAGGAUGUAAGGAAACGUGGCAACAAGGGGUGUGAUGUAGGUGAGGCUGGGAUGGGAGCCGGGACCACCAGCCCACAAGCCAUCUGUGCUCCAUGCUAAAGACUUGAGAUUAUCAUACAAAUGAUGAAGAGCCAAAGAUGGGCUGAGCAGGGAACAUGACCCCAUUUGGAUUUUAGAAAAUGAACUGAAGGAAGGAAAACCUAGAGACCAGCCUGAGGUCAGGCUCAGACAAAUGCAAUGACAAGGCGGGUGAAGGCGGGGGGGCGCCUGGGCUUCUCGGAAUCCUUUCUUUGCCUCUCCAUCCUCUGCCCUCCAUGCUCCCACCCCCAGAGCCAGCUGGCUUGAACCCUGCUUCACCUUUGCCACUCUGUGCUCCAGCCCCACUGGCCUGGCUGUCUCUUAGACUGUGCCAGCUCUCUCCCAUACCCAGGCCUUCGCCCUGCUGUUCCUGGCACCUGUGCACAACCGGACCCUUGUUGUCCCUCAGGCCUCAGUUCAAAGCCACCUCCUCAGAGGCCAUGCUGACUCUUGCCUUUACAGCGCCAAAAGCCUAUCUCAGUUUCUGUGUUUGUGCACCUGUUUAUUAUUCACUUAUCCCUGGGGAAAGUGAGUAGCUGCACCGUACCUGUGUCAUUCAGGACGACAGCCGCGUGCCUGGGAAGGAGCUGACACACACGAGGGGCUCAUUCAAUGAGUUGGCAGAAGGAAAGAAGGGAGACAGGGAGGGAACGAAAGGACAGUUGGUGGGGCCAGGGGAAACAAAGUGUGUCCCCCUCUGACCAAUGGGGUGAGAACCGUGGAGAGAGGGUGAAGACGCCGUAUCCAGACCCUUGGAGUACAUGUUUUAAUUCUGAAAUGGUUGCUUUGAAAAAAGGCUGAUCAGUGGCAUGGAGCAAGAAUCUCCUUCCUACAUGGAACACCAGAGAAAGGAGGGAAAAAUACCUUUGAAAGGAGACCUAAAAAAAAAAAGUCAAGAUUCUCCCAGAACCAUCCCAAACUCUACAAAAGGCAAAAUCAUCAUUAGCUCAGCAGUUGAGGAUGUUCCUUUGGCCGGCCUAUGCGUUUAGGGUCAAAUAAUAAGGGCAUCCUCUGUCACCAGGCAUGGCUCCAAGAGGCUCUGCAUCUCCCGACUCACCAAGUUUUCACAACAGCUCUAUUUUACAAAUGAGGAAAGGGAGCUGCCCAGAGAGAGAGGUCAGGUGUCCUGCCCAAGGGGACAGACCUAGUGAGGAGCAGUCAGGAUUCGAACACAGGACAUUUGGUCCCACAACCAGCACUCUCCAGCUUUCCGUCACCUGUGUCAGUCAGGAUGGGCUGACUGCUAUAGCAAAUAACCCUUAAAUCUCUGUGGCUUCCCCCAGCAAAGGUUUCCUUCUCAUUCGCCCACUGUUCACUGAGGCCAGCGAGGUGCUCUGCGGGCCGUCAUUCAGGAACAGUUUCCUGGGCCCUUUGCAUCUGGCCAGCCAGCGAGCAGGCAGAGGAGCACAUGGAGGACCUUGGAGAAAAUUUCAGGAGGUUUCACACUCCCUUGGCCAGAACUCAGUCCCAGUGCCCCAAGACGGAAGGGGGCUGAGAGGGGUAGACCAGGCUGUUCCCAGGAUGAGGAUGUGGUGGGCAUCUUACCAAGUGCUGCCUCAGUGCCUAUUUUGAAGGACUUCUGUAGGAGAGACCUGGCAGGAGGGGCUCCUGGGAGUCAGAAAACCCUAGCUCCCGCCCUGACUCCGCCAGCUGUCAACUGGGUGACUUCUCGCAAGUCACAGCCUCUUUUGGUCCCAGAUUCCUUAUCAAUACAGUGAGGGAACCCAACCACAUGACCCACCUCUGGAUUCUUCCAAUUCAGGAUGUCUAAAUAAUAAGGUAUCAUUUUAUUAUUUUUAAUAACCACGGUGCCUUGUUUCUGCAUGAAUGACCUAGUUGUGCUUCUGUUCAAAAUUGCAACCAUAAUUAUAACAUUGAUUCUGAAGGGAAAUACUAUCUAUUUUCAUCUAAUACUAAAUAUCUAGUCCCACCUCCUAUAUGCAUACCUGGGUGGGGUGGGAGAUCCAACUUUGUAUUUGGACUAGUUACUUGAAGCAAUCAAUGAAAUUGGGGAAAAUACAGAUAUCUAUUUCAUCAUGCCUUGAGCCAGGUUUAAGUUAUAAACAUAAUACUCCACAAGCAGAUUAUUUCCUGUGAUCUGACAACUUCUGCACAAAACAGUACUUACAUCUAUUAGGGGGCAUCUGAGCAUGCCAGGUUAGCCAGGUGAGAGCCGUCAAGAAAAUAUAUGUCCAAAGCAGCAGAGUUAAUAACUGCUGACUGAGGUUCCGCCGCAUGCCCUUGCUGCCAGAGAGCCUGGGUUUCUGAAGUGUGUGAUAUUAUCGUAACCAUGGGGAUUUUGCAAGGACUGCAGGAUGGUUUUGAGAGCUGGGGCAAGGGUCAGGCAGGCAGGGUGGAGAGGUUUGGGGCUAAAUAAGAUGUUUUAAACCCCCAAGAGAGAUGGAGGAGGCAGGUAGGGCCUGCUAGAUGAGGUUCCUAGUUUAGAAAAAAAAAAUGAAAUAUACCAGAGUUGGAGGCCUGAGAGGAGAUGAGCACUGCAAGAGGGAGAGUAAACACAGCCCAGGGACCCUUCCUCCUGUCCUUCUCUCUGCCUGAUGGCUCUCCCACCACAUCCGCUGGAGAACACCCAAGUCAGGCCAUUCGUCCUGCCAGUCAUGCCUCACCCUCGUCCCAGUGCCAUUUUUCCUGAACAACCAUCAUCCUCCUGCUCCUGCUCUUGCCAACCUGUUCUCUCUCAGCCCAGUGACAGUGCUCUUUAUGGAACAAAGGUCUAUUCUGUCCCAUCCAUGCUUGAAAGCCCAUGCCCUUAUAGCACACAGCAGCCACCGACAUGGCUUAGAAGGCCCCUGGCAGUGUAGGGCCACCUGCCUUACGGGCUUCACGCCACCCCACUGUCAUCCCCACUCACUGCUGCUGCGUCCAGCCACACUGUCCCUUCAGGUCCUUUGCUGGAGAAGCAAGAGGUCCAGGCAUUCAUCUGAAAAAAAAAAAAAAA
Non-coding RNA from Sus scrofa (pig), 10468 nucleotides. NCBI's taxonomy places the organism in Eukaryota, Metazoa, Chordata, Mammalia, Artiodactyla, Suidae. The record is from RefSeq and is a predicted model, not a curated record.